This 477-nucleotide ribosomal RNA is filed under the name uncultured bacterium. Its description in RNAcentral is "partial 16S ribosomal RNA". It matches the Rfam family "Bacterial small subunit ribosomal RNA", at positions 28 to 507 of the family's 1533-position model. The record is from RNAcentral.
GAUGAACGCUGGCGGCGUGCCUAACACAUGCAAGUCGAACGAAGCACCUUACCUGAUUCUUCGGAUGAAAGUUUGGUGACUGAGUGGCGGACGGGUGCGUAACGCGUGGGUAACUUGCGCUGUAUAGGGGGGUAACAGCUGGAAACGGCUGCUAAUACCGCAUAAGCGCACGACGAGACAUCUCCUUGUGUGAAAAUCUCCGGUGGUACAGGAUGGGCUCGCGUCGGAUUCGCUGGUUGGCAGGGUAACGGCCUACCAAGGGAACGAUCAGUAGCCGGUCUGAGAGGAAGAGCGGACACAUUGGAACUGAGACACGGUCCAAACUCCUACGGGAGGCAGCCGUGGGGAAUAUUGCAAAAUGGGGUGAACCCUGAUGCAGCUACGGCGGGUGAGUGAAGAAGUAUGUAGGUAAGUAAAGCACUAUCAGCAGGGAAGAUAAUGACGGUACCUGAAGAAGAAGCACCGGCUAAAUACGUG